CAAGCUUGUGUCUACAGGUCUG
Molecule: microRNA, 22 nt
Filed under: Cavia porcellus (domestic guinea pig)
Lineage: Eukaryota; Metazoa; Chordata; Mammalia; Rodentia; Caviidae
Description: cpo-miR-100-3p
Gene: cpo-miR-100-3p
Source: miRBase by way of RNAcentral